RNAcentral lists this ribosomal RNA (413 nucleotides) under uncultured prokaryote. RNAcentral's name for it is "bacterial SSU rRNA". It matches the Rfam family "Bacterial small subunit ribosomal RNA", at positions 505 to 918 of the family's 1533-position model. The record is from RNAcentral.
GUGUCAGCAGCCGCGGUAAUACGUAGGGUGCAAGCGUUAAUCGGAAUUACUGGGCGUAAAGCGUGCGCAGGCGGUUUUGUAAGUCUGUCGUGAAAGCCCCGGGCUCAACCUGGGAAUUGCGAUGGAGACUGCAAGGCUUGAAUCUGGCAGAGGGGGGUAGAAUUCCACGUGUAGCAGUGAAAUGCGUAGAGAUGUGGAGGAACACCGAUGGCGAAGGCAGCCCCCUGGGUCAAGAUUGACGCUCAUGCACGAAAGCGUGGGGAGCAAACAGGAUUAGAUACCCUGGUAGUCCACGCCCUAAACGAUGUCUACUAGUUGUCGGGUUUUAAUUAACUUGGCAACGCAGCUAACGCGUGAAGUAGACCGCCUGGGGAGUACGGUCGCAAGAUUAAAACUUAAAGGAAUUGACGGGG